AGCGUACACGGUGGAUGCCCUGGCAGUCAGAGGCGAUGAAGGACGUGCUAAUCUGCGAUAAGCGUCGGUGAGGUGAUAUGAACCGUUAUAACCGGCGAUUUCCGAAUGGGGAAACCCAGUGUGUUUCGACACACUAUCAUUAACUGAAUCCAUAGGUUAAUGAGGCGAACCGGGGGAACUGAAACAUCUAAGUACCCCGAGGAAAAGAAAUCAACCGAGAUUCCCCCAGUAGCGGCGAGCGAACGGGGAGGAGCCCAGAGCCUGAAUCAGUGUGUGUGUUAGUGGAAGCGUCUGGAAAGGCGUGCGAUACAGGGUGACAGCCCCGUACACAAAAAUGCACAUAUUGUGAGCUCGAUGAGUAGGGCGGGACACGUGGUAUCCUGUCUGAAUAUGGGGGGACCAUCCUCCAAGGCUAAAUACUCCUGACUGACCGAUAGUGAACCAGUACCGUGAGGGAAAGGCGAAAAGAACCCCGGCGAGGGGAGUGAAAAAGAACCUGAAACCGUGUACGUACAAGCAGUGGGAGCCUCUUAAUGGGGUGACUGCGUACCUUUUGUAUAAUGGGUCAGCGACUUAUAUUCUGUAGCAAGGUUAACCGAAUAGGGGAGCCGAAGGGAAACCGAGUCUUAACUGGGCGUUAAGUUGCAGGGUAUAGACCCGAAACCCGGUGAUCUAGCCAUGGGCAGGUUGAAGGUUGGGUAACACUAACUGGAGGACCGAACCGACUAAUGUUGAAAAAUUAGCGGAUGACUUGUGGCUGGGGGUGAAAGGCCAAUCAAACCGGGAGAUAGCUGGUUCUCCCCGAAAGCUAUUUAGGUAGCGCCUCGUGAAUUCAUCUCCGGGGGUAGAGCACUGUUUCGGCAAGGGGGUCAUCCCGACUUACCAACCCGAUGCAAACUGCGAAUACCGGAGAAUGUUAUCACGGGAGACACACGGCGGGUGCUAACGUCCGUCGUGAAGAGGGAAACAACCCAGACCGCCAGCUAAGGUCCCAAAGUCAUGGUUAAGUGGGAAACGAUGUGGGAAGGCCCAGACAGCCAGGAUGUUGGCUUAGAAGCAGCCAUCAUUUAAAGAAAGCGUAAUAGCUCACUGGUCGAGUCGGCCUGCGCGGAAGAUGUAACGGGGCUAAACCAUGCACCGAAGCUGCGGCAGCGACACUAUGUGUUGUUGGGUAGGGGAGCGACACUAUGUGUUGUUGGGUAGGGGAGCGUUCUGUAAGCCUGUGAAGGUGGCCUGUGAGGGUUGCUGGAGGUAUCAGAAGUGCGAAUGCUGACAUAAGUAACGAUAAAGCGGGUGAAAAGCCCGCUCGCCGGAAGACCAAGGGUUCCUGUCCAACGUUAAUCGGGGCAGGGUGAGUCGACCCCUAAGGCGAGGCCGAAAGGCGUAGUCGAUGGGAAACAGGUUAAUAUUCCUGUACUUGGUGUUACUGCGAAGGGGGGACGGAGAAGGCUAUGUUGGCCGGGCGACGGUUGUCCCGGUUUAAGCGUGUAGGCUGGUUUUCCAGGCAAAUCCGGAAAACCAAGGCUGAGGCGUGAUGACGAGGCACUACGGUGCUGAAGCGACAAAUGCCCUGCUUCCAGGAAAAGCCUCUAAGCAUCAGGUAACAUCAAAUCGUACCCCAAACCGACACAGGUGGUCAGGUAGAGAAUACCAAGGCGCUUGAGAGAACUCGGGUGAAGGAACUAGGCAAAAUGGUGCCGUAACUUCGGGAGAAGGCACGCUGAUAUGUAGGUGAAGCGACUUGCUCGUGGAGCUGAAAUCAGUCGAAGAUACCAGCUGGCUGCAACUGUUUAUUAAAAACACAGCACUGUGCAAACACGAAAGUGGACGUAUACGGUGUGACGCCUGCCCGGUGCCGGAAGGUUAAUUGAUGGGGUUAGCGGCAACGCGAAGCUCUUGAUCGAAGCCCCGGUAAACGGCGGCCGUAACUAUAACGGUCCUAAGGUAGCGAAAUUCCUUGUCGGGUAAGUUCCGACCUGCACGAAUGGCGUAAUGAUGGCCAGGCUGUCUCCACCCGAGACUCAGUGAAAUUGAACUCGCUGUGAAGAUGCAGUGUACCCGCGGCAAGACGGAAAGACCCCGUGAACCUUUACUAUAGCUUGACACUGAACAUUGAGCCUUGAUGUGUAGGAUAGGUGGGAGGCUUUGAAGUGUGGACGCCAGUCUGCAUGGAGCCGACCUUGAAAUACCACCCUUUAAUGUUUGAUGUUCUAACGUUGGCCCGUAAUCCGGGUUGCGGACAGUGUCUGGUGGGUAGUUUGACUGGGGCGGUCUCCUCCUAAAGAGUAACGGAGGAGCACGAAGGUUGGCUAAUCCUGGUCGGACAUCAGGAGGUUAGUGCAAUGGCAUAAGCCAGCUUGACUGCGAGCGUGACGGCGCGAGCAGGUGCGAAAGCAGGUCAUAGUGAUCCGGUGGUUCUGAAUGGAAGGGCCAUCGCUCAACGGAUAAAAGGUACUCCGGGGAUAACAGGCUGAUACCGCCCAAGAGUUCAUAUCGACGGCGGUGUUUGGCACCUCGAUGUCGGCUCAUCACAUCCUGGGGCUGAAGUAGGUCCCAAGGGUAUGGCUGUUCGCCAUUUAAAGUGGUACGCGAGCUGGGUUUAGAACGUCGUGAGACAGUUCGGUCCCUAUCUGCCGUGGGCGCUGGAGAACUGAGGGGGGCUGCUCCUAGUACGAGAGGACCGGAGUGGACGCAUCACUGGUGUUCGGGUUGUCAUGCCAAUGGCACUGCCCGGUAGCUAAAUGCGGAAGAGAUAAGUGCUGAAAGCAUCUAAGCACGAAACUUGCCCCGAGAUGAGUUCUCCCUGAAGAAGAGCCUUUCU
This 2821-nucleotide ribosomal RNA is filed under the name Escherichia coli TOP293-3. Its description in RNAcentral is "bacterial LSU rRNA". It matches the Rfam family "Bacterial large subunit ribosomal RNA". The record is from RNAcentral. Lineage: Bacteria; Pseudomonadati; Pseudomonadota; Gammaproteobacteria; Enterobacterales; Enterobacteriaceae.